AUUUGUGCGAUGAUGAAGCAAUAUUGUGGACUAGAGUUUCUGAUGUUGGGCUCUUCUUCCCAUUUCCUUUGACGACAAACCCUUGGCUGUCUGAGCACCAAUUAUUAAUCGUUAUUUUUCUCCAAGUUUUCUUAAUUUUUGGAAAAUAUUUUCACUCAAAUUUUAUUAUUUUGUGAAUUAGGUUAAGAGCUAAUGAUGAGAAACAUAAAUAUCUUAGCGGAUUUCAGUGAGAUUUUUAAUCAAUGAUCUGAUUGUUACACACACUGAAGCUCUUAAUAAUUUUUUAAAUUAAAUGGGAUGUAAAUAGUAAUAAUAGCAGUGAUGAGGUUAAACACAUGAGGUUAAACACAUGAGGAUGUGUUUAGGGAAGUGGACAAGACGAUUAAAACCGUUUUGCCGUGAUCCCCAAUUUAAACGACUUCUCCUUCCACUGAGCUUUCUUUUUAUUUUCAUUCCAACUCUUAUUCAAAAUUACAUUUUUUGUGUAAUUUGUUUUACAUAUAUAUGUAUAUAUUUGAAGAGAUAUUUUGCGUCCAUUUACCAUUACCAAUUCUGGAGGAUAAGUUGGUUCCUCACGGUGUAAUGGCUCGGACGCCAAAUUAACAAUUGUGGCCAUCCUGAUCAAUGGCUUCUCAAUACCAUUGCAUCCUGGAAACACCUCAUACAUUU
RNAcentral lists this long non-coding RNA (669 nucleotides) under Helianthus annuus (common sunflower). Lineage: Eukaryota; Viridiplantae; Streptophyta; Magnoliopsida; Asterales; Asteraceae. The record is from RNAcentral.